Octopus sinensis (East Asian common octopus) is the source of this 163-nucleotide long non-coding RNA. RefSeq lists it as uncharacterized. Lineage: Eukaryota; Metazoa; Mollusca; Cephalopoda; Octopoda; Octopodidae. The record is from RefSeq and is a predicted model, not a curated record. The transcript has 3 exons.
UGUGUGUGUGUGAGUUCUGUGUGUGUGUGUGGUGUUGGCUGUCUAUAUGUGUAUGUGUGAGUGAACUUUGUGUCUGUUAAUGUUGUAGGAAGAAUUCAGCAGCAUGGUAACAGGAGUGGUGGUCUUUUGUGUAGUUGUAUGUUUCUUCACAUGUGCAUAGAGG